GGAGGGGCGAGUGGCCGGGGCCGGGGUCUCCGGCGCACCGCUCGCGGCGCGCGGGUAGGGGGCCGCGAGAGCAGGGCGAGGGUGCCGCCGGGACCCGGGCAGCGAGGCUCACCGUCUGCUGCAGGAAAAUGCCAGCUCCACAGCUGGGCUUCAGUGGAAGCUGUGUCUUGGCCCCACCCCAGUGACCAGAGGCCUUACAAGGACCCUGUCCAUGCUCCCGCUGGCUCCAGGGACAGGAACUAUGAGAAACCCUCUGCAACAGCAGCCCACAUCCUGCUGGUCCUGAGCUAAACAAUCUGGGGACCAAAACCGUGAAGUCAUUCAUACAAGGCUGUCCAGUGACGGGGCCAGGACCGGCAACUCUGUGGAUGAGCCCUUCCCACUGGUGUGACCCGGAUGGAUGCAGAGACGACACCGCCCUCCAGAUGCCCCGCCACCCCCCUGCCCGACACACACACACACACACACACACACACCACACACACACGCCCCAUCACACCUCCACCACACACACACACACCACACACACAUCACAAAUACACCACACACACUCCACACACACACACCACACACACAGACACACAUACGGCCCAUCACACCGCCACCACACCCACACACACACAAACGGAGGGGGAAAGGUUGGAAAGAAUUUUUGAUCUGUUUCAAUAAAACACCAAACAUAGCGUUGAAGGAAAAGCCAGCAGCCCGCGGACUCCACGGUUUCGGUUCUGAUUUGCUCAUUCCAUACUCUCCAGGCUCGGGGCCUUUAAGGAACACUAGCGCGCCGAGCGCCAACACUAGGAUCCCUCCUUCGCGCAGCUCACGCGCCGCCCGCCCCCAGCGCCGAAGGCCUCGGGGCGCAAACC
Molecule: long non-coding RNA, 866 nt
Organism: Bubalus bubalis (water buffalo)
Lineage: Eukaryota; Metazoa; Chordata; Mammalia; Artiodactyla; Bovidae
Exons: 3
Source: RefSeq, a predicted model, not a curated record